UCUCAGUAAUGUACUUCUAAUAGGUCCUUCUGACCUCUCCUGUGGACUCAAUAGCAGGGAGAUGAAGGGGACAGUGCCUGAGAGA
RNAcentral lists this small nucleolar RNA (85 nucleotides) under Propithecus coquereli (Coquerel's sifaka). The record is from RNAcentral. Lineage: Eukaryota; Metazoa; Chordata; Mammalia; Primates; Indriidae.